RNAcentral lists this ribosomal RNA (406 nucleotides) under uncultured bacterium. Its description in RNAcentral is "bacterial SSU rRNA". It matches the Rfam family "Bacterial small subunit ribosomal RNA", at positions 355 to 776 of the family's 1533-position model. The record is from RNAcentral.
CUAAGAAUCUUGCGCAAUGGGCGAAAGCCUGACGCAGCAAUUCCGCGUGGAGGACGAAGGCCCUCGGGUCGUAAACUCCUUUUGCGAGGGAAGAAGUUCUGACGGUACCUCGCGAAUAAGCCACGGCUAACUACGUGCCAGCAGCCGCGGUAAUACGUAGGUGGCGAGCGUUGUCCGGAUUUAUUGGGCGUAAAGAGCCCGCAGGCGGCUUGGCAAGUUUCGAGUGAAAUCUCCCGGCUCAACUGGGAGGGCGCUCGGAAAACUGCCAGGCUUGAGGCAGGGAGAGGGAUGUGGAAUUCCCGGUGUAGUGGUGAAAUGCGUAGAUAUCGGGAGGAACACCAGUGGCGAAGGCGGCAUCCUGGCCCUGUCCUGACGCUCAGGGGCGAAAGCGUGGGGAGCAAACCGG